UACGUAGGGUGCGAGCGUUGUCCGGAAUUAUUGGGCGUAAAGGGUUCGUAGGCGGUAAUACAUGUCAGAUGUGAAAUCUUGUGGCUUAACCACAUCAAGCAUCUGAAACUGUAUAACUUGAGUGGAGGAGAGGUAAGUGGAAUUCCUAGUGUAGCGGUGAAAUGCGUAGAUAUUAGGAAGAAUACCAGUAGCGAAGGCGACUUACUGGCCUCUAACUGACGCUGAUGAACGAAAGCGUGGGUAGCAAACAGGAUUAGAUACCCU
This 264-nucleotide ribosomal RNA is filed under the name uncultured prokaryote. RNAcentral's name for it is "partial 16S ribosomal RNA". It matches the Rfam family "Bacterial small subunit ribosomal RNA", at positions 524 to 788 of the family's 1533-position model. The record is from RNAcentral.